This 249-nucleotide ribosomal RNA is filed under the name uncultured bacterium. RNAcentral's name for it is "partial 16S ribosomal RNA". It matches the Rfam family "Bacterial small subunit ribosomal RNA", at positions 108 to 353 of the family's 1533-position model. The record is from RNAcentral.
GAGUAACGCGUGAGGAACCUGCCUCAAAGAGGGGGACAACAGUUGGAAACGACUGCUAAUACCGCAUAAGCCCACGGCUCGGCAUCGAGCAGAGGGAAAAGGAGCAAUCCGCUUUGAGAUGGCCUCGCGUCCGAUUAGCUAGUUGGUGAGGUAAUGGCACACCAAGGCGACGAUCGGUAGCCGGACUGAGAGGUUGAACGGCCACAUUGGGACUGAGACACGGCCCAGACUCCUACGGGAGGCAGCAUG